CCUACGGGGGGCAGCAGUGGGGAAUAUUGCACAAUGGGGGAAACCCUGAUGCAGCAACGCCGCGUGAAGGAAGACGGUUUUCGGAUUGUAAACUUUUGUUCUUAGUGAAGAAUAAUGACGGUAGCUGAGGAUCAAGCCACGGCUAACUACGUGCCAGCAGCCGCGGUAAUACGUAGGUGGCAAGCGUUGUCCGGAAUUUCUGGGUGUAAAGGGAGCGCAGGCGGACAGGCAAGUCAGCUGUGAAAACUACGGGCUUAACUUGUAGACUGCAGUUGAAACUGGUAUUCUUGAGUGAAGUAGAGGUUGGCGGAAUUCCGGGUGUAGCGGUGAAAUGCGUAGAUAUUCGGAAGAACACCGGUGGCGAAGGCAGCCAACUGGGCUGUAACUGACGCUGAGGCUCGAAAGUGUGGGGAGCAAACAGGAUUAGAUACCCCUGUAGUC
RNAcentral lists this ribosomal RNA (441 nucleotides) under uncultured bacterium. RNAcentral describes it as "partial 16S ribosomal RNA". It matches the Rfam family "Bacterial small subunit ribosomal RNA", at positions 338 to 795 of the family's 1533-position model. The record is from RNAcentral.